RNAcentral lists this long non-coding RNA (1238 nucleotides) under Oryzias javanicus (javanese ricefish). RNAcentral's name for it is "lncRNA (ENSOJAG00000007460.1)". Lineage: Eukaryota; Metazoa; Chordata; Actinopteri; Beloniformes; Adrianichthyidae. The record is from RNAcentral.
CUUGCAGAAAUCUUCCUUGAAAACGAUUCCAAGAUUCUUACAUGCUGAACAGUUCUUGGUUUUUUUCCAGAUGGCGUCUCGGUGGUGUCUCAUAACAAACUGCAUGAUGACCUGUCUGUGUCUGCCCUCCUCCUUUCUCCCCAACCGAUGAACCGAAUCCACCAUAAUGUCCAUCCUCUCUUUCCACUCCGGAGCGAUCUUGGACAGGAUACUGAUGAUGACAUCUCGGAUGUUCUCGUCGUCUUUUUCUUUUAAUCCUUGAAUUUUUAGGUUCCAUCGCCGUUUGUAGCGUUCUAUUUCAGCUACUUUUUCUUUCAGCUCUUUGUUUUCUUUAACAAGUUGUGGAACUUCUUUUUCCAUUUCUUUAAUUUUUACCUUGCAUUCUUUAAUCUCAGCUGCAUUCAUUUCCACAAGUCGAGAGAUAUUUGCUACCAUGACGGAGUUUUCUUUUAGCUGGUGACCAAAGUCCUCAAUUUUGCAGGUUAAUUUUUCAAUAGCGGUGAUUAGUGCUUCAUUCUGAGGGACUGCAGGCUCUUGAACAGGUUUCAUCUUUUGUGGCGGAGCAGAAGCUUUAGUAGGAGUACUCGGAGCAGGUUUCCUUUUCAUGUUGCUGCUUACCUCCAUCUGGGUGUAGUCGUGGUCACAGGUGUUUGUUUGUAGCGCUGUAGCUAGCUUAGCAUCGGCUUUUUUCAUUCUUAGACAAUGUUGUCUCGGCACACUGAGAGGUUUGAUAUUACUAAAAGUAUUCAAAUCGAAUAUGUCUUCAAUGGGGAUAAGUAUAUCAGUCCCAAAAUAUAUAUAUUCUUUUCACAAUCCGGGGCGAGGUUGGGCGAGCUUAGGUAAAGCGUGUCGCUCUUACCGCCAUGCCAGCGGAAGUCCAAGAAAGUUUCCUUUUGUGAUGCCAGCAGAACGUGUGUUUAUCACUAUUCUGUUCCUCAGAUCACAUGUCCUCUGAGGAGAAACACUUUUAUGUCUGCAUCAACCACCUAUCCCAGAACAUUCUGCUGUACAGCCUGAUAAAAGAGGAGGAGUCCAAGAAGAAAAUAGCCUAUCAGAGGCUACUUUCAACUUUGAACCAGUCCAGGGAUCAUACAGAGUGACAAACAGAAGAGAAGAACUUCUAAAUGAAGGUGAUUAUAAAAAUACUUUUUUGGGCAAUAUUUAGCCUUAAAACCCCACUGCAAUCAUCUUUUGACCCACAGUAAAAUCUUUCUCAGUGGUCUUUUAAUGACGAUUCU